RNAcentral lists this transfer RNA (74 nucleotides) under Aphanothece sacrum FPU1. It matches the Rfam family "tRNA". Rfam says of the family: Transfer RNA (tRNA) molecules are approximately 80 nucleotides in length. Their secondary structure includes four short double-helical elements and three loops (D, anti-codon, and T loops). RNAcentral also lists the same sequence under 1 other name. The record is from Rfam by way of RNAcentral. Lineage: Bacteria; Bacillati; Cyanobacteriota; Cyanophyceae; Chroococcales; Aphanothecaceae.
CGGGAUGUAGCGCAGCUUGGUAGCGCAUCGCAUUUGGGAUGCGAGGGUCGCAGGUUCAAAUCCUGUCAUCCCGA